UUGAUAAUAAGCUUAUAGUAUCAGCCUCGUGUAUUUUCAGGGUGGUCUUCACUGGAUUCCAACAUCACCACAGUCUGCCUAACUAGUCAGAAGUACGGGGGAUGCUGGAAACCAUUGAGAGUUCUCCUGAUAUGGCAGCCGAUAUGGCUGGAGGGUGCUGUUCUCUCAGGGCAUCUUUGUCCUGACUGGUGUCUUCAGUUCAUUUUUAUCUGGCUUUAAAUAAAGACCAGAGACUGGACAGGGAGUUGCUGGCACAGCCGCGCUCUGGCCAGUUGAGUGCUCCCUGACCAGCUUGCUCCAGCAGCUGAAAGGUCAGAAGUUAAACAUGAUGAAGAGGGUCCGGUUCCUGGUUUCGCAGAGUCCAGCCAUCGUGGCCUGUUCCCCUGCGGGGUUUGGGGCCAGCCCCAGGGUGUUUGGAAGAGCAAGUUAUGGGAGGAAGGACGUCAGCAGCCUGGCUCUCUUUAGGGCAGCCUCAGGUCCAGGCCGGGAAUAUGUUGAAGUUGCUGAGAGAAGUUGGGAACAGCAGCGUGCCAAUGGCUGGCAGGAAGUUGUCGAGCGCUCAUGUUACAGGCACCGACGAGGGACUGUCUGCAGGUAUCGGGGCGUGCAGCUCAGCUCUCACUUGAGGCUGCCACCUCAUCACUGCUGUCGUGACCCAACACUUGGGCGUUGUGAGGCUGACCACAAAAAUAUUAACGCCAGGGUCACGGUUCGGAUCCCAUCGCAGCCAGUCACCAAAGAAAAAUUAGCAUGCCCCACCUACUUCCUCCUGAACAUUUUCUCCUGAGAUUGCCUAAAGAGAAAAUAACCCACUCAUUAAAUACAAAAAUACAUUUAAAAAAAUAA
Molecule: long non-coding RNA, 846 nt
Organism: Galeopterus variegatus (Sunda flying lemur)
Lineage: Eukaryota; Metazoa; Chordata; Mammalia; Dermoptera; Cynocephalidae
Exons: 2
Source: RefSeq, a predicted model, not a curated record